UUUUUUUUUUUUAAUUGGUAAGGGUUGGGCUGGAGGACAUGGUUUCUGUCUCUAUGCAGGUAGGCUUCCGUCCAGAAUUCGAUUUACAGUGGCAGGGCAGCCAGAACACACGUCACUGAUGUAAUAAAAAUGUACCCGUGUGUGACCUUGGCCCUGCUAUUUUUGCCAAAAGACCCAGACAUAUGUCUACUUUCACAGCAUUUCUCACAUCCUAAAACUUGAGAGUGAUUGUAAUCAUCAUAGCCAAUCAGGGUAACAGUGACAGUAAUGCAAACAACAGAUGUGAACGAGGGAUGUCAUUUGGAUUUAUCAUUGAUCUGAAUAGGUAUCUGGGCAAUCCCUUUCAAAUAAUGUACAAGCAGUCAAGACAGAACUUGUAUUAAAACCCUUAUUAUCAAAUUCUGGGAAGAUGACCGCGGUGGGAAUGGCGAGCUUUGGGUUCUUCCUAAAUCCCAAUAGAAAGAAAGACAGUGAAAUUUUAAAAAUCAGUGGACAAUAUUUACAACACAACUAGGUGAUGAGGAACUCUGUGAACCCCAAACUGCAAACCAGCAAGAGCCACAAGAUCCGCAUGUAAUCAGCAAGUGUUCAGGAGAAAGCAGACGGAAGCCACAGGAUGACCAACAGCCUGUCAAUAGGAGGCACCAAAAUGGCCACCAAUACUCAGGAGGAGGUGGGCCACUGAGGGCAGCAGCAGGCAGGAGAGGGGUUUGCCUCUUGCUUAGCAGGUGAGGCAAAUGGCCUUCAGUAAGCAGGGCUGAUGGGCUUAGCAGCAUGCCCUUCCUACCUUCCAUAGGGCUCUACACUCAGGCAAAAUGGUCGGAGCUGAAUUAAAAUUGAUUGGAAAAGAACAAAAGAGGUGAUGGAAAGAGAAGGUCCAGAUAAAACUGGGGCAGGCAAACAGAGCAAAAAAUACUCAGAAAAAUCACCUUUAAAUUAAAAAAAAUAUGUAUACUUAAUACCACAUGGAAACAAAAGGAGCUGUUAGCACAAAAUAUCUUUCUGAUAGUCAGGAAAACUAAAUUCACAGUAAAAUGUUCAACAGAAACGUGUCAAGGCCAAAUCCCAUACAAAGAUCCCAUGUGUUUUCAAUAAAAAGUCCUGCUUGAGAAAUUUUCAUAGCUUAUCAGGAUGAAUUAAAUUAUCCUUUUUGCCACCGUAAAAUACAAGAAGGAAGAAAAAUUCAAAAUCUGGAUAAACUACAUUCAAUUUUGACAUAAUACAGAAUGUGAAGAGAAGGGAAACUGAAUACAUUGUUAGAAAAAAUAUUUAAAACAUUUUAAUUUCUUGAUCAACUUUUAAACUGUGAUUACUAAAAUUACUAUAAAAAUUCUACAUUUUUAAAUUAUUUUACAGGUUUAUUACUGAUUCCUAGUUCUUUCUCUUGUGGCAAUAUUUGGUUUUGAACUUGAUUUCAGCCAAAUACUGAAUUUGACCCCUGGCCGCUUCACAUUUUGGAAAAAUAUAUAUCAGUGCAUUUCAAUUCUGUAGGAUUUAUGGCCCAGAUGACAGAAAGACAACAUGGAUUCUCAAUGGGCUGCUCUCUCCCAAAAGAACAAUGAGAGGAAGGUGUUGGGCUGUGCACCCUCAAUGUCACUUUCUAGACUCUUUAAUCAGGUUAAGUAUUUAUCAAUUAUCUAUUAUUGUUUAAAAACCACCCAAAAACUAAUUAAAAAAGAUUCAUGCAUUCCAAUGUUCACAGCAGCACUAUUCAAAGUAGCCAAGACAUGGAAACAACCCAAGUGCCCAUCAACAGACAACUGGUUUAAGAAGACGUGGUGUAUAUAUACAAUGGAAAAUUACUCAGCCAUAGAAAGAAUGAAAUAUUGCCAUUUGCAGCAACAUGGAUGGACCUAGAGAUUAUCAUACUAAGUGAAGUAAAUCAGACAGAGAAAGGCAAUACUGUAUAUCACUUAUAUGUGGAAUCUAAAAAAUAAUACAAAUUAAUCUAUAUACAAAGCAGAAAUAGACUCACGGACAUAAAAUACAAAGUUAUGGUUGCUAAAGGGAGAGGGUGGAAGGAUAAAUUAGGAGUUUGGGAUUAUCUGUUAACAGAUAAGCAACAGGGAUUUACUGUAUAAUACAGGGAACUAGAUUCAAUAUCUUGUAAUAAUCUAUAAUGGAAAAUAAUCUGAAAAAGUGUGUGUGUGUGUGUGUGUGUGUGUGUGUGUGUGUGUAUAAAAAUCACUUACUUAUAUUCCUGAAGCUAACACAAUAUUGUAAAUAAACUAUACUCUAAUCUUAAAAAUAAAUUUAAAAAGAGACUUAGUAACAUAAAGCAACAACAAUUUUAAAUGUUCACAGUACCAUUAGUCCUUGUUGUUUCAGCAUCACAUACACAAAACUGGAAUAAUACAGAGAAGAUUAACAUGUCCCUGGAGCAAAGAAGACAUGCAAAUUCAAGAAGUGCUCCAUAUUUCUAAGGGGUUAAUUCUUCAAGAAGAUAUAACAGGUGUAAAUACAUAUACACUCAACAUCAGAGCACCUAAAUAUAUUCAGCAAAUAGUAAUAGAUCUAAAAAGAGAAAUAGACAGUUAUACAAUAAUACUAAGGGACUUCAAUACCUCACUUUCAACAAUGGAUAGCUCAUCCAGACAGAAAAUCAAAAAGGAAAUGUUGUAUUUGAAUCAUACACUAAAUGGACCUAACAAACAUUUACAGAGCAUUCCAUCCAUCAGCAGCAGAACACAUAUUCUUCUGAAGUGCACACGGAACAUUCUCCAGGGUAGAUUAUGUUAUAGGCCACAAAGGGAGUCUUAGUAAAUUUUAAAAGAUUGAAAUCUUUUUAUACCACAAUGAUAUAACUUGAAAUCAACAAAAAGAGGAAAGGUGGAAAAUUUACAAGCACGUAGAAACUAAACAACACACUCCUAAACAAUGAGUAGUCUGAGGAAGAAACAAAAAGGGAAAUUAAAAAAAAAAAUCUCAAAACAGGAGUUCCCUUCAUGGCUCAGAGGAAAUGAAUCUGACUAGCAUCCAUGAGGAUGCCGGUUCAAUCUCUGGUCUUGCUCAAUGGGUUGAGGAUCUGGCAUUGCUGUGAGCUGUGGUGUAAGUUGCAGACAUCGCUUGUAUCUGGCGUUGCUGUGGCUGUGGUAUAGGCCAGCAGCUACAGCCCUUAGCCUGGGAACCUCCAUAUGCUGAAGCUGCGGCCCUAAAAAGACAAAAACAAAACAAAACAAACAAACAAAAAAACCCCAAAACUCAAAACAAUGAAAAUAGAAACAGCACACCAAAACCUAUGGGAUGUUGCGAAAGCAAUUCUGAGAGGCAAGUUUAUAGUAAUAAACACAUGUAUUAAGAAAACAGAAAAAUCUCAAAGAAUUAAAGAAAGAAUAAACUAAGACCAAAGUUAGCAAAAGAAAGGAAAUGACAAGGAUCAGAGUGAAAAUAAAUGAAAUAUAGACCAUAAAAACAAUACAAAAGAUCAAUGGAACUAAGAUCUGGUUUUUCAAAAAGAUAAACAAAAUUGGCAAGCUUUUAGCUAGACUAAGAAAAAAGAGAAAAGAUUCAAAAUCAGAGAUGAAAGAAGAGACAUUAUAAAUGAUAUCAGAGAAAUAUAUGGUACCAUAAGAGACUACCAUAACUAUUAAAGACCAAUGAUUGGCUAAACUAGAAAAGGAUAAAAUCGUAGAAGUGCAUAACGUACCAAGGCCGAAUCUGGAAGAAAGAGAAAAUUUUAACAUAUCAAUAAUGAGUGAGAUUGAAUCAGUAAAUAAGAACCUUCCAACGCAGAAAAACCCAAGGCAGAUGUCUUUACUGGUGAAUUCUACCAAACAUUGAAGGAAGAAUUAACACCAAUCCUUCUCAAACUCUUCCAAAAAACUAAAGGGGAGGGAACUGUUUUAAGCUUCUUUGCUUUGCGAAGCCAGAAUUACCCUGAUAACAAAGCCAAUUAAGACCAAGAAAGGAAAACUAUAGAACAAUAUCUCUGAUAAAUGAAAAAAUUCUGAAAAAAUAUUAGCGAAUUGAAUCCAACAACACAUUAAAAGUAUCAUACGCUAUGCCCAAAUGAGAUUUAUCCCUGGGAUGUAAGACUGGCUCAACAUAAUGCAAAUCAAUAAAUGCUGGAGUUCCUGUUGUGGCACAGCAGAAAUGAAUCUGACUAGGAACCAUGAGGUUUCAGUUCAAUCCCUGGCCUUGCUCAGUGGGUUAAGGAUCUGGCAUGAGCUGUGGUGUAGGUCGCAGACGCUGCUCGGAUCCCAAGUUGCUGUGGCUCUGGCAUAGGCCGGUAGCUACAGCCGUGUUUGGACCCCUAGCCUGGGAAUCUCCAUGUGCUGUGGGUGUGGCCAUGGAAAAACACGAUAAAAUAAAAUAAAGGCAUCCAGUUCAGAAAGGAAAAAGUAAAAUUGUCAUUUUUUCCAAAUGAUAUGGUCUGAUGUGGAAAAUCUUAAAGACUCAACCAAAAAACUGCAGAAACUAAUAAAUGAAUUCAGUAAAGUUUCAGGAUAUAAAAUCAACAUACAGAAAUCAGUUGUUUCUAAACACUAACAAUGAACUAUCCGAAAAAAAGUUAAACUCUUCCAUUUACAAUAGUAUCAAAAACAAUAAAAUACUUUGGAAUAAGUUUAACCAAGGAAACCUGUACAAUGAAAGCUACAAGACCUUAAUGAAAGCAACUGAAAAAAACAUACAUGGAAAGAUAUCUUAUGUUCAUGGAUAAUAAUCAACAUUGUUAAAAUGUCCAGACUAUCCAAAAUCAUCUAGAGUAUAGAUUCAGCAUAAUCUCUACCAAAAAUCCAAUACAUUUUUCUAUUUUUUUUUCUUUUUUCUUUUUUUUUAAGUCCACACCUGUGGCAUAUGGAAGUUCCUAGGCUAGGGGUUGAAUCAGAGUUAUAGCUGAGGCCUAACCACAGCCACAGCCACAGCCACACUGGAUCUAAGCUGCAUCUGCAACCUACACCACAGCUUGCAGCAACACCGGAUCUUUCAUCCACUGAGUAUGGUCAGGGAAGAACCUGCAUUCUCACAGAAAUUACUUUGGGUCCUUAAUCUACUGAGCCAUAAUGGGAACCCCAAAAAUCCAAUACAUUUUCCACAGUAAUAGCAAAAACAAUCCUAAAAUUCGUAUAGAACUACAAUAGACCCUGAAUAGCUAAAGCAAUCCUGAGAAAGGGGAAAGGAUAUUCUCUUCAAUACAUGGUGUUGGGAAAAUUGGAUAAUCACAAGAAGAAAAAUGAAAUUUGGCCCAUAUCUUACAUCACUCACAAAAAUUAACUUGAAAUGGAUUAAAAAAUUAAACGUAAGACCUGAUACUGUAAAACUCCUACAAGAAAAAUAGAGAAGAAGCUCUUUGACAUUGGUCUUGGCAAUGAUUUUUUGGAUAUGAUAUGACACCCCAAACUCCAGCAACAAAAGCAAAAAUCAACAAGUGGGACCAUGUCAAACUAAAAUUUGUGCAUUGAAAGAAACAAUCAACAAAAUGAAAAGGCAGGAGUUCCCGUCGUGGCGCAGUGGUUAACGAAUCCGACUAGGAACCAUGAGGUUGCAGGUUCGGUCCCUGCCCUUGCUCAGUGGGUUAAUGAUCCGGCGUUGCUGUGAGCUGUGGUGUAGGUUGCAGAUGUGGCUCGGAUCCCACGUUGCUGUGGCUCUGGUGUAGGCUGGUGGCUACAGCUCCGAUUCGACCCCUAGCCUGGGAACCUCCAUAUGCCACGGCAGCGGCCCAAGAAAAAGCAAAAAAAAACCAAAAAAAAAAAAAAAAAA
This 5700-nucleotide long non-coding RNA is filed under the name Sus scrofa (pig). Lineage: Eukaryota; Metazoa; Chordata; Mammalia; Artiodactyla; Suidae. The record is from RNAcentral.